GGUGACUGUACAUGCAGUCGAGCGGACAGAAGAGAGCUUGCUCCCGGAUGUUAGCGGCGGACGGGUGAGUAACACGUGGGUAACCUGCCUGUAAGACUGGGAUAACUCCGGGAAACCGGAGCUAAUACCGGAUAGUUCCUUGAACCGCAUGGUUCAAGGAUGAAAGACGGUUUCGGCUGUCACUUACAGAUGGACCCGCGGCGCAUUAGCUAGUUGGUGGGGUAAUGGCUCACCAAGGCGACGAUGCGUAGCCGACCUGAGAGGGUGAUCGGCCACACUGGGACUGAGACACGCGCCCAGACUCCUACGGGAGGCAGCAGUAGGGAAUCUUCCGCAAUGGACGAAAGUCUGACGGAGCAACGCCGCGUGAGUGAUGAAGGUUUUCGGAUCGUAAAGCUCUGUUGUUAGGGAAGAACAAGUGCGAGAGUAACUGCUCGCACCUUGACGGUACCUAACCAGAAAGCCACGGCUAACUACGUGCCAGCAGCCGCGGUAAUACGUAGGUGGCAAGCGUUGUCCGGAAUUAUUGGGCGUAAAGGGCUCGCAGGCGGUUUCUUAAGUCUGAUGUGAAAGCCCCCGGCUCAACCGGGGAGGGUCAUUGGAAACUGGGAAACUUGAGUGCAGAAGAGGAGAGUGGAAUUCCACGUGUAGCGGUGAAAUGCGUAGAGAUGUGGAGGAACACCAGUGGCGAAGGCGACUCUCUGGUCUGUAACUGACGCUGAGGAGCGAAAGCGUGGGGAGCGAACAGGAUAAGAUACCCUGGUAGUCCACGCCGUAAACGAUGAGGUGCUAAGUGUUAGGGGGUUUCCGCCCCUUAGUGCUGCAGCUAACGCAUUAAGCACUCCGCCUGGGGAGUACGGUCGCAAGACUGAAACUCAAAGGAAUUGACGGGGGCCCGCACAAGCGGUGGAGCAUGUGGUUUAAUUCGAAGCAACGCGAAGAACCUUACCAGGUCUUGACAUCCUCUGACAACCCUAGAGAUAGGGCUUUCCCUUCGGGGACAGAGUGACAGGUGGUGCAUGGUUGUCGUCAGCUCGUGUCGUGAGAUGUUGGGUUAAGUCCCGCAACGAGCGCAACCCUUGAUCUUAGUUGCCAGCAUUCAGUUGGGCACUCUAAGGUGACUGCCGGUGACAAACCGGAGGAAGGUGGGGAUGACGUCAAAUCAUCAUGCCCCUUAUGACCUGGGCUACACACGUGCUACAAUGGACAGAACAAAGGGCUGCAAGACCGCAAGGUUUAGCCAAUCCCAUAAAUCUGUUCUCAGUUCGGAUCGCAGUCUGCAACUCGACUGCGUGAAGCUGGAAUCGCUAGUAAUCGCGGAUCAGCAUGCCGCGGUGAAUACGUUCCCGGCCCUUGUACACACCGCCCGUCACACCACGAGAGUUUGCAACACCCGAAGUCGGUGAGGUAACCUUUAUGGAGCCAGCCGC
Molecule: ribosomal RNA, 1430 nt
Filed under: Bacillus pumilus
Lineage: Bacteria; Bacillati; Bacillota; Bacilli; Caryophanales; Bacillaceae
Description: bacterial SSU rRNA
Rfam family: Bacterial small subunit ribosomal RNA
Source: RNAcentral